Molecule: long non-coding RNA, 267 nt
Filed under: Lathyrus oleraceus (garden pea)
Lineage: Eukaryota; Viridiplantae; Streptophyta; Magnoliopsida; Fabales; Fabaceae
Description: Pisum sativum (pea) long non-coding RNA (PSAT_LNC014172)
Source: RNAcentral
UUAACCCUUCAUGUUAAUCAUUUGAGACCAUGUAUUAACCAUAAAAUGAGUUCGACUCUGAUUGAGGCAGGGUUCAAAGCUUUUGAAAGGUAAUGCAUAGAACUACCUUAUGGUAAUUGUUCUUAUGUUUUUUUUCUAUUCCUCAAUGAUGUCGAAAAUGAUUAAUUGUGUAAGUCUAGUCUUCAAUGAGUACGUGUGUAAUUGUUGGUUGCGGUAAAGCAGCAAGCAAAAGUAAGUAUUUUGUUUUAUCCUCUCCACAGGGAUUAG